Molecule: non-coding RNA, 316 nt
Organism: Salmo salar (Atlantic salmon)
Lineage: Eukaryota; Metazoa; Chordata; Actinopteri; Salmoniformes; Salmonidae
Source: RefSeq, a predicted model, not a curated record
AAAUAAAAAACUGGCACAUUGACAUGAAGCUACAAUAGAAGCUGACAGGUUGAAGCCACAAUAGAAGCUGACAGGUUGAAGCUACAAUAGAAGCUGACAGGUUGAAGCUACAAUAGAAGCUGACAGGUUGAAGCUACAAUAGAAGCUGACAGGUUGAAGCUACAAUAGAAGCUGACAGGUUGAAGCUACAAUAGAAGCUGACAGGUUGAAGCUACAAUAGAAGCUGACAGGUUGAAGCUACAAUAGAAGCUGACAGGUUGAAGCUACAAUAGAAGCUGACAGGUUGAAGCUACAAUAGAAGCUGACAGGUUGAAGC